AACGAACGCUGGCGGCAGGCUUAACACAUGCAAGUCGAACGCUCGUGGCAACACGGGAGUGGCGGACGGGUGAGUAACGCGUGGGAACGUGCCCUGAGGUUGGGAAUAACUGCGGGAAACUGCAGCUAAUACCUGAUGCGCCCCGAGAGGGGAAAGGAUUUAUCGCCUUGGGAGCGGCCCGCGUCGGAUUAGCUAGUUGGUGGGGUAACGGCCUACCAAGGCUUCGAUCCGUAGCUGGUCUGAGAGGACGAUCAGCCACACUGGGACUGAGACACGGCCCAGACUCCUACGGGAGGCAGCAGUGGGGAAUCUUGCGCAAUGGGGGCAACCCUGACGCAGCCAUGCCGCGUGAAUGAUGAAGGCCUUAGGGUUGUAAAGUUCUUUUGCCCGUGACGAUGAUGACGGUAACGGGAGAAUAAGCUCCGGCUAACUUCGUG
RNAcentral lists this ribosomal RNA (437 nucleotides) under uncultured bacterium. RNAcentral's name for it is "bacterial SSU rRNA". It matches the Rfam family "Bacterial small subunit ribosomal RNA", at positions 29 to 507 of the family's 1533-position model. The record is from RNAcentral.